Molecule: long non-coding RNA, 3791 nt
Organism: Anas platyrhynchos (mallard)
Lineage: Eukaryota; Metazoa; Chordata; Aves; Anseriformes; Anatidae
Source: RefSeq, a predicted model, not a curated record
UCUGGUGAGCCACCCCGCUCAGGAGCCUUUUUGGGGCACACUGUCGGGCUAUGAAGGAGCAGGACAGUUGGGUCUGUCCCUGAGCAACGUCUGUGAAAUGGCAGCAGCUCUAAUGUUGAGAGGAAGUGCGGGAGGAAAUGUGCUCCGCCCUGUCAGGUGGGUCUUCGCGCUGCACACGGGAGCCCCGCUGUCCUCUCCCCACACAGCAAUUCUGUCAUCCCCUUCUGUGCUGGCCAGGCUUUCUGCUGACAGUUACCAAACAACUAUAAAAGUGCUGCCAUUUGAAAUAUGCUUCGUGGUGGGGAUUGCUGUUAACCCCUUGCCUGCUUUUCUCUCAGCAUUUCUGAUGCUGGGCACCUGCCCCUUCAGGCCACUGCACCAAUAAAAAAAAUCCACCUAGGCACGUCCAUAUCAUGUUUUUACUUAUAAACACAACAAGGCCAUAUUCCAGUUAACCAUAUUGUUAAAUUCCUGGUAUGGCCCCACCAGAGCACCCUAAAACCACCUGGGUACGGCUGAGGGCUAUCUUUGAGCCUGAAGUCAGUCAGGCCAUGGGCACUAUUUGGGAGAUCAUGUGGAGAAAAGUACAAGAUUUCAGACAUAAAAGAUGCUGAGAGCAUUUAUUUGUUCAUAUGAACACCACCAGUGCUCCCAUAACGCAUCAUUCCCCCAGCAGGUGCUGUUGGGCUCUUUUAGUGACUGCAGCUGUCUGUGAGGAGAGCAGGACAAGUGCUUGGGGAGCUGUUACUGUGAUCAGGUGUUGCCCGAAAGUAAUUUAUCUGGGAGGGGAAGAAGUGGCUGUGCUGUUCUCCAAACAUAGUCUCUGGCAGCUGGGCUUUUCUGGCUUGAUGCCUCAAAUGUCCACUGUGGCACAGAAGCUGCAAGAUGGAGCCCAUGCUAGCAGUGGCUGCAGUGACCACCAGGCUGGGCAGGCCUCCUUUACCUGUUGCUGUGUGUGCCUGGUGGUACCAGGCAGCAGAAGAUCAGCGCACACUCCAGGAGGAAGCUGGACCACCACACUGGGUAUUAUGCAAACCUAACCAGCACUCCCUAAAUUACAUUGCCUUUGAGUCUUUCCCUGCGCAAGAGGGCAUCUGUGAUGGGGUGUAACUUGUGGUCAAGACACUGAGGAGAAUUAAAAGAACCUACACCCAAGAAAAAUGUUUGAGUGGACUUCUGGAGCAUAAGCACUUUAUCAGGAGAUAACAACCAGGGAAUAAGUGCCUCGCCCGGAAGUCUUCCUCUCCCCUUCUGUGGUUCUGGAAUGCUGGAGGCAAACUCUCCCUUCAUCCCUCUGCCUAGGGCCCACGUCCAGGUGCAUCUUUCCCUGUCUGCUGGUGGUUAUUGCAGCAAGGGGAGCUAAUAAGGAAAUGAGCCAGUCCACAGAAAUCUGCUAAUUAACCUUGGGACACACCUGGUUUUAUCUUGUGGCUGCAAACAAUUUUAUCAAAAGAUCCCUAAGAUCAGCAAAACUACCUCCCUUCCAGUCUGUCUCUAGGCACCCAGGCUGUGCGAUGUCUCCGAAUCCAGGAAGGGGCCCUGCCCAGCAGCAGUUUGUACCAGUAAAGUCAUGGGCUGGUUUUGGAAAUGACGUGGUGGAAGCCCAAGCUUGGGUUGGCUUUGGCAAGGUGAACGUGUGGGCACUGGUCCCCAGAGGAUAUCACCAUUUGGUGCUGGUGGCAGCGCUGGUAGAACUGGGGGGCUUUGCUUCCACUUGUCAGCAGAAGGCUACAAAACACUCUAGUCAAAACCCACUUGCUUAAAGACAGCUCCUAGUGAUGGGCCAGAUAGGCUUGUCUUGCUUCUUACUGUUCCAAAGGCAUGAUAUACAAAUGUAAACGUAAAGCCUUACAAGUUAUACCCUAAACCAAACAUAAGUUUGGGGAGUGAUGCUCCUGUGGGGAGAAGUGUUAAUUAGUGACACCUUCUGCUACAAAGUCCAGCGACAGACGGGUCUUACUGUAAAUGAGUGGUUGGUCUGGAAGGACUAUGCUCUGGGGAACCUGCAGGAGUUAGACAGAUCUAGCUAUGCUGAUUGGUAAUAAUCUGUGGACAGUGAACACAGGACCUAAGGUUUGACAAUGAACCAUACAGACAAAACAACAAUAAGAUGUGCUUUGGAAAAAAGACUGCAAGCUUUUGUCUUUAUUUCUUUUUAACAGUAUCAUGGUCAAGUGUGAUGCAUCUUUCUCUUGCCAGCAUCAGAAGGGAAUUUGUCAAAAGAAUUUUCCAGAUUCUGCCACAGAAUAUUGAUGAGAUCAUAGUCAAGUCACAGAGUUUUGUUGUACUUUAUAGCUUGAGGACAGUAAUAUUAUGGUCGUCUCUGUGUGCUUUAUCUGUUUUAUACCAGAAGCUUUUGAUCUACAUCUGCCACGACUAGCUUUCAAGCAGUCAUUAGAAAUAAACAAGCAAAAAAAUAUUUUCUUCCCCAAAGUUGGAAAUAUUUUGUUGAAAAUCUCUAGUCUAAAGAAGACUUUAAAUUUUCAAGUGGAAACUUGAAGUUUGCUAAGAAAACUAGACAUUACGUACAUUUUUUUCCUGAACUCUUCAUUUUCUAUCAAAAAAAAAAAAAUCUGUAAUAACCAAGCCUGGUGGACAUAGUUCUGGGAUGCAGAACUCCAGGAUUCAAAAGAAGACAAUACAUGUUUAAAAUAGGUUUUCUCUAUUUUAGUGAACGCCCUGCACCCUCUGCUGUUGGCUGUCACAACACAUACAGCAGCUCGUUCCUUGGCACUUCCUUUUGAGUGGCCCAGGCUGAGGGUCUCUGCUCGAUAAGCUGCAGUGGUUCCUGUCCUCUAGCACCCUGUCGAGCUUCUAGAAUUUGAGAAUGCAAAGAAAUGCUCUCUGAUCUGCUCCGUGAGGUAGGAAUAGCACCUCAUCCUCCUCUUCCACUUCACUUUUGUAUUCAUGAAGUAUUUGGGCAGUUCCUAUCUUCACCUAUUUGACUGCUUCUAAGUGACAGGGCCACACAUCUUGUCAGUCUCCAUAAGCUCGUACCAGCUCAACUCUUCAGCUCGUUUCUGCCUGCUGGUGAUGGUUACCUGAUUACAGCCUUUCCCCAGCUUUUGAGUUCUGUUUUUUCUGAUAAAUUUUGGUAUGACGGUUUAGGGAAGGAAGGGGAAUGCCAAGGAAGCUGCCCAAUUUUCUGUACUGAGAAUUGAGGUUAUAUAAGACUCAUAGGCAUCCUGGUAAUGUCAGCAGGGUCAGGUGGCGGGGAGAAUUGCAGUAGGGCAGGACUGUGGCUGACAGAAGGGGCACGUAGGCGCAGGCAAACCCCUGAAAACAUGUUCAAGAACCAAUGAGUAAUAGCACUCUGUCCCCGUGCAUACUCACGCUGGCUUUGUGCAUGGGCAACAAGUCCCUAAAACAGAGCUAUCAAAACCACAAGUGAAUGCUUGCAUUUUCUGGAAUGAGCUUUUAUUGAAAUACUUGACGUUUAGUUCCUUUGCUAAUAUACUUUUGUCACUUCAAAGGGCUGUUACGCCUUGUCUGGUGUCUCUUGGGGGGCUUUCUGUGGUGUUUUUAAGAAGCAAUCCAUGUAAAUACAAUGCUCAGGCAAAGGCUCAGGCUCAGGCUGCCUGAGGUCAGCAUCACAGCCCCACCUGGGAAGUACUUCUGGUCAACAUAGUCUAUAAUGGUUGUCACAGCCAACAUAGUCUCCUCGCAUGUGGGCUGGAUCUGGUCAGGAGGUAGAACAAAUCCAUAAGUACCUUUGUCUCGCAGUUCAAAUGUAUAGGAGAAAGGAAUGCCAAUCAUGUGAGCCCAGUCCCGUGAGGAGCCUGAGUUAUUGU